Psammomys obesus (fat sand rat) is the source of this 135-nucleotide small nucleolar RNA. RefSeq annotates it as U8 small nucleolar RNA. The transcript has a single exon. NCBI's taxonomy places the organism in Eukaryota, Metazoa, Chordata, Mammalia, Rodentia, Muridae. The record is from RefSeq and is a predicted model, not a curated record.
UUCUCGGUGAGAUGAAUCCUUACCUGUCCCUUCUUUUGGAAGGCGGAUAGAAAAUGGUGAUUAGAGUCCACACCAUGUGUGGUCAGCCUCUCUGUGUAAAUAGAGCCCACAGCGAGCUGGAGAGAUGGCUCAGAG